Molecule: ribosomal RNA, 332 nt
Filed under: uncultured bacterium
Lineage: Bacteria
Description: bacterial SSU rRNA
Rfam family: Bacterial small subunit ribosomal RNA
Source: RNAcentral
CGGGUAGGCAGUUCGGUAAGUCUCUUGUGAAAGCUCCCGGCUCAACUGGGAGAGGCCAAGGGAAACUGCCGGGCUGGAGUGUGGCAGAGGAAGCUGGAAUUCCCGGUGUAGCGGUGAAAUGCGUAGAGAUCGGGAGGAACACCUAUGGCGAAAGCAGGCUUCUGGGCCAUCACUGACGCUGAUCUGCGAAAGCUAGGGGAGCAAACAGGAUUAGAUACCCUGGUAGUCCUAGCCCUAAACGAUGCUCAUUAGGUGUGAGAGGUACCGACCCCUUUCGCGCCGAAGCUAACGCAUUAAAUGAGCCGCCUGGGGAGUACGGCCGCAAGGUUGAA